UACGGGGGGGGCAAGCGUUGUUCGGAAUUACUGGGCGUAAAGGGCGCGUAGGCGGUGCUCUAAGUUAGAUGUGAAAACUCUGGGCUCAACCCAGAGCCUGCAUCUAAAACUGGAGUGCUAGAGUUCUGGAGGGGGUAGCGGAAUUCCUGGUGUAGCGGUGAAAUGCGUAGAUAUCAGGAGGAACACCGGUGGCGAAGGCGGUUCUCUGGGCCUGUACUGACGCUGAGGAGCGAAAGCGUGGGGAGCGAACAGG
Molecule: ribosomal RNA, 253 nt
Filed under: uncultured bacterium
Lineage: Bacteria
Description: partial 16S ribosomal RNA
Rfam family: Bacterial small subunit ribosomal RNA
Source: RNAcentral